RNAcentral lists this long non-coding RNA (3686 nucleotides) under Homo sapiens (human). Its description in RNAcentral is "HSALNT0160198". Lineage: Eukaryota; Metazoa; Chordata; Mammalia; Primates; Hominidae. The record is from RNAcentral.
UUUUCCACUUUGACCAGAUUCCUUCUUUAAUCUUGGCAAAGAUGGGAGGGAAUGAAGAAGGAGAGGGUGGGAGGAAGGAGAGAAGGUAGGGAGAGAGGAGAGGAAGGCAGAGAAAUAGACUAAAGGUUAGAGGGUAGAAGGGAAUUCUAGACUAACGUAAACAAGAGAAAAGUUUCUCAUUUAAAGUGUAUGUCUGGGCCAGGUGUGGUGGCUCACACCAGUAAUUCCAGCACUUUGAGAAGACGAGGUAGGUGGAUCACCUGAGCGAGACUCCAUCUCUAAAUAAAUAAAUAAAGUGUAUUUCUGGCUGGGCACAAUGGCUGACGCCUGUAAUCCCAGGACUUUCGGAAGCUGAAACAGGAGGAUUUCUUGAGCGCAGGAGUUCAAAAUCAGCCUGGGCAACAUAGCAAGACCCCAUCUCUAUAACAUAAAUAAAUAAAAUGUGUUUCUACCUGGUGUGGUGGCUCAUGUCUAUAAUCUCAGUGCUCUGGGAGGCUGACGUGGGAGGAUCAUUUUAGGCCAAGAGUUUGAGACCAGCCUGGGCAACAUAGUGAGAUCCCAGCUCAACAAAACAUUAGAAUAAUUAGUUGGGCAUGGUAACAUAUACCUGUAGUCCCAGCUACUAAAGAGGCUGAGGUGGGAGGAUCGUUUGAGUCUGGGAGUUCAAGGUUACAAUGAGCUAUAAUCGGGCCACUACACUCCAGCCUGGGCGACAGAGCAGGACUGUCUCAAAAUAACAAUAAUAAUAAUAAAAUGAAAUGUAUUUAUUUGCUAUGUUCAUUGGAAGAAUAUUGCAUAGUGUCUGAAGAUUGCUGCAUGAGCAGAAAUAGAGUGCAGAGUCUUUGAGGUCCCCAGAAUGGGACAAUGACAUGCUCAUCGAGGUCUUCUCUAAGCAUGUUGGCCUCACUGCCUGGUCCUGGGCACAAUUCACAAGUGAAGGCACCACUAGAGUGUGAAGGUCACAUUGGCCUGAAGUUACUCACAUCUGUUCCUGUUUACAGCUGUCAAAGCCAUCUUGAAUAUGUUGCCAUCUGCACACCAACCUUGUGAUGAGGGCAGGAAGGCAUUAUGAUUGGUGUCAUUUUACAGUCCAGGUGCUGGUAAGACCAUAAAGUGAUCUUCUGACCUCUUUCUUCUCAUGUUUCACAGUCUGAUCUGGGUGUUUAAACUGACUACUUCACACUACCUCUCUUAGAAAAGGAAGAACCAAUUUAGAACAAUGUGCUUGGAGAAAUGAAGACUCCCUACGUUCCCUCCGCUCUCUACCUCCCACACACCCACUAACCCCUACUACAGCUAUGCCCCGGUGUCUUCAGGGAGCUCACCCAACAGGAGCAAGAGGACUUCUUUAAGCUGAGACUGCAAAGGUCAGAGACACCACUCAGCAAAGAGCCAGGAGGUGUGCAUUCUAAGCAGCAAAGCGGUUCUCAAUAUUCAGGAAAAGACCAGAUGUGGGGGCUCAUGCCUGUAAUCGAAGCACUCUGGGAGGCCAAGGCGGGAGGAUCCCUUGAGGUCAGGAGUUUGAGGCUGCAGUGAGCUACAAUGGCACCCCUGCACUCCAGCGUGGGUAACAGAGCAAGACUUGUCAUUACAUAAAUAAAUACUCAGGAAGAGAGAAGAAAAUGCCAGUAUGGCUUGAAUUUGGUUUGCUAUGGGGAGAGAGAGCAACGAGAUGAGGUUGGAGAGGUGGGGUUGGCGUCAGAUCUUGUAAGUCUGGCAAGGAGUCCAAGUUUUAUUCCAAGUACAAGAGCAAGUUUAAAUUUAAUGUAAGCAAGGAAUGACAAAUCUGACUUGUUUAGGGAGGCAGGACAUACAGUGGUUAAUAGUCCAAGCUCCAGAAUCAGACGACCUAGAUUUAAAUAUCAUUUCUACCAUUUAUUACAUGGGUGGGUGUAGGCAUAUUAUUUAAAAUCCACAUGUCAUGUUUCUCAUUUAUAAAAGAAAGAUAGCAGCAAUAAUAGCCCAGCAUAGGACUGUUUUAAAAUGAUUUAUUUGCCAAGCGUGGUGACUUAAUCCUCUCAUCGCAGCACUUUGGGAGGCUGAGGUGGGAAGAUGGCUUGAGCCCAGGAGUUUGAGAUCUGCCUGGGCAACAUAGGGGACCUUGUCUCUACAAAAGCAUUGGUAAAUGUUACUUGUCUAUAUUUUUAAAAACUAAUGCAUCCUACUGUGUGGAAAAUGGAUUGAGAGUGAGAGGGUAAGGAAAAAGACCAGCUGAGAAGUUAUUGAAGUGGCCCGAGGAAUAGUUCAUGGGGCUUGGUCUAAGUAAGUGAGGAUAGAGACAAAGAAAAGGAUAUAUAAUAAAGACAUGCUAAUUCAUUAGAUGAGGAAGAAUAAAUAACCAAUGAUGGUUCAUGGGUUUUGGACUGAAGAGAUGCCUUUUACUGAGAUGAGAAAAACUAGGGGUAGAAUUGGCUUAAGAAAAAAAUCAAAAGUUCAGUUUUAUCCAUGUCAUACCUCUUAAAUACUCAAGUGGAAAGGUCAAGAAGGCAAUUAGAUAAAACCAAGUAAAUGUAACUGUAGCUGGCUAGACUUCUUGUAGCAGAGAACAGGACUAGGCUCACCAUGUGAAACUGGGUGAAGAUAGAAAGUGUCAGGAAAAAUUACAAAAGACUUCGAAAUGGAUAAAAAAGAUUAGUGGGUGUCCUGUCUAGCUUUACCAUCCUGGUUAUCUCCAGAGGCUUUGCAACUCUCAAAGACAGUAAAUUCUGAAAAACCGGUAAUAGUGCCAAUGAUUCUUGCUCACAAAAGUGCAAUUGACUUGUGUCUGGUGAAAUGUAAUGGAUUAUGGUAUUGGAGAUAGACCAGUUUUUUAAAUCUGUUUGUAAAUUCAUUUCAACAUUUCUUUAUGCAUAUAAACAUGUGCUUCUUUGAAACAACUGUAACAUCUUACCGGUUCCCUCAUUAGUUAAUGAAUUAAAUAAAAUAUUUGACAAGCAUGGAUUUUAUAUUUGUAUGAGAAUUGUAGUUGAUCAUUUUAAAAAUUUAUCUGUUAACAAGGACAUUUUCCAAUGAAAAGAAGAUGAAGGGGAAAAAAGUGCUUCAACCAAACACUACUUAGAGCUGUGGACUGUACGUAACUUAAUAACCCAAGGAGGAAGAAGCCAUCAAAAAUAUCAUAGAGCCUGGACCUAUAACUAGUUAGCCUCUGGCUUUGAACCUAGACCUCUUCAUGGAAGGGGUUGUGAAUAGCAUCUCUCUUCCCCACCUGAGUUCUGAAUAUAUUGAACAAAAGACAAGUGAAUGAUUAUUGGAAGCCAAAAUAUCACCUUCUUAAUCAUAAAAGCUAGACUAGAGACAGGGUGUGUAGCUCUGUAUGAGAGCCAGCUGGGCUUUCUAUCACUGAACUCUAGAAUUAGACCAACUCACCCAAGCCACAGCAGUGCUAAACCAGGAAAAUCCGCUCAACAAAUGAUGCUUGGACAACAGAAUAAAUGCAUGAAAAUAGAUUGAAUCUCAACCCCUACCUCACACAACUCAUAAAAAUUAAUUCAGGAUUGAUCUUAGGCAUAAAUUUAAACUAUACCUAAAACUAUAAAACUUCUAGAAGAAAGCAAAAGAAAAUCUUUGUGAUCCUGGAGCCAGCAAAGAUUUUAUAGGUAGGACACACACAAAAAACAAUCAUAAAAGAAACAAAUGGAUAAAUUGAACUUCAUCAAAAUUAAAAACAUGAUCAAAGGGGAAAAACC